GGAGGAAAGCAGGGGAUCGUAAGACCUUGCGUUAAUGGAGCGGCCGGUAUCUGAUUAGCUAGUUGGUGAGGUAAAGGCUCACCAAGGCGACGAUCAGUAGCUGGUUUGAGAGAACGACCAGCCACACUGGAACUGAGACACGGUCAGACUCCUACGGGAGGCAGCAGUGGGGAAUUUUGGACAAUGGGGGCAACCCUGAUCCAGCCAUUCCGCGUGAGUGAAGAUGGCCUUCGGGUUGUAAAGCUCUUUCGCAAGGGAAGAAAACUUAUGAUCGAAUAAAUCAUGAGGUUGACGGUACCUUGAUAAGAAGCACCGGCUAACUACGUGCCAGCAGCCGCGGUAAUACGUAGGGUGCGAGCGUUAAUCGGAAUUACUGGGCGUAAAGCGUGCGCAGGCGGUUUUGUAAGUCGGAUGUGAAAUCCCCGGGCUCAACCUGGGAACUGCGUUUGAAACUACAAAGCUAGA
Molecule: ribosomal RNA, 465 nt
Filed under: uncultured ammonia-oxidizing beta proteobacterium
Lineage: Bacteria; Pseudomonadati; Pseudomonadota; Betaproteobacteria
Description: bacterial SSU rRNA
Rfam family: Bacterial small subunit ribosomal RNA
Source: RNAcentral